UCCUAGCCGUAAACGAUGGGUACUAAGUGUAGGAGGUCAUUGACCCCUUCUGUGCUGUAGUUAACGCAUUAAGUACCCCGCCUGGGGACUACGACCGCAAGGUUAAAACUCAAAGUAAUUGACGGGGGCCCGCACAAGCGGUGGAGCAUGUCGCUCAAUUCGAAGCAACGCGAAGAACCUUAUCCAGUGGCUUGACAUCCUCUGACAACCGUGGAAACACGGCUUUCCCUUCGGGGACAGAGUGACAGGUGCUGCAUGGCAGUCGUCAGCUCGUGUCGUGAGAUGUUGGGUUAAGUCCCG
Molecule: ribosomal RNA, 300 nt
Filed under: uncultured bacterium
Lineage: Bacteria
Description: bacterial SSU rRNA
Rfam family: Bacterial small subunit ribosomal RNA
Source: RNAcentral